CAGAGGUUACUGCUAYCGGRGAGUUCGACUAAGCCAUGCGAGUUGAAUGUUCUUCGUGAACAUGGCGGACUGCUCAGUAACACGUGGACAACCUACCCUUGGGUCCGGCAUAAUCCUGGGAAACUGGGAAUAAUUCCGGAUAGGUCACCGAUGCUGGAAUGCGCGGUGGCCGAAAGCUCCGGCGCCCGAGGAUGGGUCUGCGGCCUAUCAGGGUUGUAGUGGGUGUAACGUACCUACUAGCCUACGACGGGUACGGGUUGUGAGAGCAAGAGCCCGGAGAUGGAUUCUGAGACACGAAUCCAGGCCCUACGGGGUGCAGCAGGCGCGAAAACUUUACAAUGCGGGAAACCGUGAUAAGGGGAUCUCGAGUGCCAGCAUAUAAUGUUGGCUGUCCAGAUGCCUAAAAAGCAUCUGUUAGCAAGGGCCGGGCAAGACCGGUGCCAGCCGCCGCGGUAACACCGGCGGCCCGAGUGGUAACCGCUAUUAUUGGGUCUAAAGGGUCUGUAGCCGGCCAGGUAAGUCCCUUGGGAAAUCUGGCAGCUCAACUGUCAGGCUGCUAGGGGAUACUGUUUGGCUUGGGACCGGGAGAGGUGAGAGGUACCUUGGGGGUAGGGGUGAAAUCUUGUGAUCCUCGAGGGACCACCAGUGGCGAAGGCGUCUCACCAGAACGGGUCCGACGGUAAGGGACGAAAGCUAGGGGCACGAACCGGAUUAGAUACCCGGGUAGUCCUAGCCGUAAACGAUGCUCGCUAGGUGUCAGUCACGGUGCGACCGUGAUUGGUGCCGUAGGGAAGCCGUGAAGCGAGCCACCUGGGAAGUAUGGCCGCAAGGCUGAAACUUAAAGGAAUUGGCGGGGGAGCACUACAWSSSGYGSAGCCUGCGGUUUAGUG
RNAcentral lists this ribosomal RNA (890 nucleotides) under uncultured Methanosaeta sp. RNAcentral's name for it is "bacterial SSU rRNA". It matches the Rfam family "Archaeal small subunit ribosomal RNA", at positions 18 to 907 of the family's 1478-position model. Lineage: Archaea; Methanobacteriati; Methanobacteriota; Methanomicrobia; Methanotrichales; Methanotrichaceae. The record is from RNAcentral.